Molecule: small nuclear RNA, 104 nt
Organism: Fukomys damarensis (Damara mole-rat)
Lineage: Eukaryota; Metazoa; Chordata; Mammalia; Rodentia; Bathyergidae
Source: Ensembl
GGAUUAGAUUCAGCAGCACAUAUACUAAAAUUGGAGAAAUACAGAGAUUAGCAUGGCCCCUGUGCAGGGGUGACGCGCAAAUUCAUGAAGAGCUCCAUAUUGUU